This 254-nucleotide ribosomal RNA is filed under the name uncultured bacterium. RNAcentral describes it as "partial 16S ribosomal RNA". It matches the Rfam family "Bacterial small subunit ribosomal RNA", at positions 524 to 776 of the family's 1533-position model. The record is from RNAcentral.
UACGAAGGGUGCAAACGUUGCUCGGAAUUAUUGGGCGUAAAGCGCACGUAGGCGGCAUUGCAAGUCGGAUGUGAAAUCCCUCGGCUUAACCAAGGAAGUGCAUCCGAAACUGCUGUGCUUGAGUACUUAAGAGGAUCGCGGAAUUCCCGGUGUAGAGGUGAAAUUCGUAGAUAUCGGGAGGAACACCAGUGGCGAAGGCGGCAUCCUGGACCAACACUGACGCUGAGUGAGCGAAAGCCAGGGGAGCAAACGGG